AUGAAAAAUGCAUCCUACUCUAUAAUCUCCUGGAAUGUACGCGGACUAGGUGACAAUGACAAGUGUGCCAACGUGUUCUCUGAAAUCAAUCUCCUGCGCCCAUCUGUAGCCCUUCUUCAAGAAACCAAACUACAAAAACCAGAUACAAUCAAGAUUCGUUCGAUUUUGCCACGGUUCCUUGACUCUAAUAAUCACCUUGGCGCAAUUGGAUCUGCGGGUGGCAUUCUUUCGGCAACCAACUCUCGAUGCUUCUCGCUCCUCAACUGUCAACAUAGGCGUUUCACAUCCACCUUAACUCUAGCAUGUCUUGCAUCACCCCACAAAAUCUUUAUCACAAACGUGUACGCUCCCUCUCAGCAAGACCUAAAGAUGGCAUUCCUAGACGAGCUAAAACUAAUCGAACCACCACCACAAUCACCCUGGCUCCUAAUUGGAGACUUCAACCUCACCAGAUUCCCCAACGAACGCAACAACAACAACUUCCGGCGAUCAGAGGCUGACGCUUUCAACGACACCAUUGAUCAACUUGCUCUCUUAGAGCUCCCUCUCCUUGAUAGAGAGUUCACCUGGUCAAAUAAAAGGUUGUCUCCCACGCUAAUCCAUCUAGAUAGGGUUCUUAUCAACCUCGCUUGGGACGCUACUUUCCCAAACUCUCACCUCACCUCUCUUACUAGGUUUAUUUCUGAUCAC
This 690-nucleotide ribosomal RNA is filed under the name Triticum aestivum (bread wheat). RNAcentral describes it as "partial small subunit ribosomal RNA". Lineage: Eukaryota; Viridiplantae; Streptophyta; Magnoliopsida; Poales; Poaceae. The record is from RNAcentral.